This 211-nucleotide ribosomal RNA is filed under the name uncultured eukaryote. Its description in RNAcentral is "partial 18S ribosomal RNA". It matches the Rfam family "Eukaryotic small subunit ribosomal RNA", at positions 1457 to 1667 of the family's 1831-position model. The record is from RNAcentral.
CAGGUNUGUGAUGCCCUUAGAUGUUNUGGGCUGCACGCGCGCUACACUGAUGCGUUCAACGAGUUUAUAACCUUGCCCGAAAGGGUUGGGUAAUCUUUUGAAAACGCAUCGUGAUGGGGAUAGAUUAUUGCAAUUAUUAAUCUUCAACGAGGAAUUCCUAGUAAGCGCGAGUCAUCAGCUCGUGCUGAUUACGUCCCUGCCCUUUGNACAC